This 408-nucleotide ribosomal RNA is filed under the name uncultured eukaryote. RNAcentral's name for it is "SSU rRNA". It matches the Rfam family "Eukaryotic small subunit ribosomal RNA", at positions 592 to 996 of the family's 1831-position model. The record is from RNAcentral.
CAAUAGCGUAUAUUAAAGUUGUUGCGGUUAAAAGCUCGUAGUUGGAUUUCUGUCGGUGAGUGAAAGUCCGCUCUCAGUGGUUGGUACUUUUCACGCCACCGGCAUCUUCCUGGGGAUUGUGUCUGCUCUUUGUUGAGUGGCGCAUAAUCCAGGACUUUUACUUUGAAGAAAUAGAGAGUGUUUCUAAGCAGGCCAUCGCCCUGAAUACGUUAGCAUGGAAUAAUAGCAUCGGACCUCGUUCCAAACGACUGUUGGUUUCUUUGGACCGAGGUAAAGGUAGAAUAGGGAUUGUUGGGGGCGAUUCGUAUUUAACUUGUCAGAGGUGAAAUUCUUGGAUUUGUUGAAGACGGACUACUGCGAAAGCAUCUGCCAAAGAUGUUCUCAUUGAUCAAGAACGAAAGUUAGGUG